Planococcus citri (citrus mealybug) is the source of this 733-nucleotide long non-coding RNA. RefSeq lists it as uncharacterized. Lineage: Eukaryota; Metazoa; Arthropoda; Insecta; Hemiptera; Pseudococcidae. The transcript is spliced from 3 exons. The record is from RefSeq and is a predicted model, not a curated record.
CAUGCGGUUUUCGGUGUGAUAAAAAAGUGUUAUCACUCCAUGAAUUUUGAGGAUUUGAUUAAUUUCAGCAUAAAAUUUCGAGUAAAAUUGUGCAAAUUUGUGGUUUAAAACGAGUAUUAGAUACCCUAAAGUAAUCCGAUUCUGUUGUCCAAAGAGCAAGGCUUUAUCAACUCGUAUAAAUCAUGAUGAGACUACAGCCUCCCGAUUCUGCCGAUGUCGCAGAAGAGAAGAAGAAAGUCCGUGAAAUCGUUAUUUCCAAUAUCACCACAUUUUUCGUAGCAAUUGGCAUUAUAAGAUUAGUCCCACAUGCGAUCAAAUUAUUCAGCGAGUAAAAAAUACAUUACAAUAAACAUCGUAUAUAAAUAAUGAAAUAAUUAGAACGUCUUCAUCCGUAUAUUAAUAAUUGGGGUUCGUUGCUUCGACUUUAUUGUAAUCGUACCACAGAUCAUUACCUACUCGGUCCUCGUAAUACUACCGAAGAUGCUGAUAUCGAAGAAACCAAGCAUCCUUCGCCCAAUACGAGUUUAUUGAAUACGUUACGAGAGAGAAUGCUGAGAUUAUCGGAAAAAGAAAAACGACGUUCGAGUGCUCAAUAAAGAAAAAAUUAGUCACUGUUCAGAUUUAUUAUUUAUGUUUUUUCUUUUGUACAUGGGUUUUUUUCUCGAAUGAUUAUGAUUUUUUUUUAAAUGUAUGCGAUUCAGACAAAUAUAAUACAUUUUUUAUUAAUUUGUGA